AAGAGAAGAGAAGAGAAGAGAAGAGAAGAGAAGAGAAGAGAAGAGAAGAAGGACCCAAGGAUAAGAGACUACCUGCAUUGUGAAAAAGAGGAGACUUUUAGAAACAAUGACCUGAGGACAGAAGACAAAACAAAGAAGACAAAGACAAGUAUAUGUGACUGCCUGCACUGUGAGAGUAGAGGUCAUGAUGUUACAAAAAAAACAAGACAGAAAAAGAACAAGAAGGAGCCAGUGUGGACGUGCUCUGGAUGA
Long non-coding RNA from Mugil cephalus (flathead mullet), 252 nucleotides. RefSeq lists it as uncharacterized. The transcript has 3 exons. The record is from RefSeq and is a predicted model, not a curated record. NCBI's taxonomy places the organism in Eukaryota, Metazoa, Chordata, Actinopteri, Mugiliformes, Mugilidae.